CCUACGGGAGGCAGCAGUGAGGAAUAUUGGUCAAUGGACGAGAGUCUGAACCAGCCAAGUAGCGUGAAGGAUGACUGCCCUAUGGGUUGUAAACUUCUUUUAUAAAGGAAUAAAACGAGGCACGUGUGCCUUUUUGCAUGUACUUUAUGAAUAAGGAUCGGCUAACUCCGUGCCAGCAGCCGCGGUAAUACGGAGGAUCCGAGCGUUAUCCGGAUUUAUUGGGUUUAAAGGGAGCGUAGAUGGGUGGUCAAGUCAGUUGUGAAAGUUCGCGGCUCAACCCUAAACUUGCCAUUGAUACUGGCAGUCUUGAGUACGGGUGAGGUAGGCGGAAUUCGUGGUGUAGCGGUGAAAUGCUUAGAUAUCACGAAGAACCCCGAUUGCGAAGGCAGCUUACUAGACUGUGACUGACAUUGAUGCACGAAAGUGUGGGUAUCGAACAGGAUUAGAUACCCCAGUAGUC
Molecule: ribosomal RNA, 460 nt
Filed under: uncultured bacterium
Lineage: Bacteria
Description: partial 16S ribosomal RNA
Rfam family: Bacterial small subunit ribosomal RNA
Source: RNAcentral